Molecule: ribosomal RNA, 528 nt
Filed under: uncultured Rhodocyclaceae bacterium
Lineage: Bacteria; Pseudomonadati; Pseudomonadota; Betaproteobacteria; Rhodocyclales; Rhodocyclaceae
Description: bacterial SSU rRNA
Rfam family: Bacterial small subunit ribosomal RNA
Source: RNAcentral
UUAGAGUUUGAUCCUGGCUCAGAUUGAACGCUGGCGGCAUGCCUUACACAUGCAAGUCGAACGCGAAAGUGGGGGCAACCCUGCGAGUAGAGUGGCGAACGGGUGAGUAAUACAUCGGAACGUACCCAGGAGUGGGGGACAACCUCGAGAAAUCGAGGCUAAUACCGCAUACGUCCUGAGGGAGAAAGCGGGGGAUUCGCAAGGACCUCGCGCUCAUGGAGCGGCCGAUGUCGGAUUAGCUAGUUGGCGGGGUAAAGGCCCACCAAGGCGACGAUCCGUAGCUGGUUUGAGAGAACGACCAGCCACACUGGGACUGAGACACGGCCCAGACUCCUACGGGAGGCAGCAGUGGGGAAUUUUGGACAAUGGGGGCAACCCUGAUCCAGCCAUGCCGCGUGAGUGAAGAAGGCCUUCGGGUUGUAAAGCUCUUUCGGCCGGAACGAAAUCGCGUACGUGAAUAACGUGCGUGGAUGACGGUACUGGAAGAAGAAGCACCGGCUAACUACGUGCCAGCAGCCGCGGUAAUAC